Molecule: long non-coding RNA, 1137 nt
Organism: Ictalurus punctatus (channel catfish)
Lineage: Eukaryota; Metazoa; Chordata; Actinopteri; Siluriformes; Ictaluridae
Exons: 5
Source: RefSeq, a predicted model, not a curated record
CUGAACCGCAGAACGGACUGUACACUACACAGCACAUCCAAAAGUAUGUGGACGCGUGACCAUUAAACCCAUAUGAGUUUCUUCCCCAAACUGUUGCCACAAAGUUUGAAGCACACGCUUGUCUAGAAUAUCUUUGUAUGCUGUAGCAUUAAGAUUUCCCUUCAGUGGCUCUAAAGGCUCCAAAACUGUUUCAUCAUGACAAUGAUACUUUUGGCCAUGUAGGCAGAACAGCAAAGUGGUUAUAUAUACACAGUCUGAUCCAUAAGUAUUUGGACAGUGACACAAUUUUCAUACUUUUGCAUCUGGACACCACCACAGUGGAUAUGAAAUGCAUGCAUGCAUGCAUCUUCUAUACCGUUUAUCCUACAGGGCCGCGGGGAAGCUGGAGCAUAUCCCAGGGAGCAUGGGGCACAAGGCGGGAUACACCCUGGACGGGAUGCCAAUCCACCACAGGACACAAUCACAUACACAUUCACACACCCCUUCAUACACUACGGACACUUUGGACAUGCCAAUCAGCUUACCAUGCAUGUAUUUGGACUGGGGGAGGAAACUGGAGUACCCGGAGGAAACCCCCACAGCACAGGGAGAACAUGCAAAGUCAGUGACUGCCUGAAGUCUGGAACUGUGGACAUCACCAAAUGCUGAGUUUCUUCCAUUGAGAUGUUUUGCCUGGCCUUUUCUGCAGCUGCCUUCAGUUACUGAUUGAAUGUGGGUCUUUCUGCCUUCAGGUGUCCCCGGUCUUGUGCCCUGCCUCCCCUGGGAUAGGGUCCAGGCAACCCUGUGUAGGUGGAUGGAUGGAUGGAUGACUUAGUUGACACUUGAAGUAGUUUGGAGUUGGCCGAUGGACCACCUUAAGUUACACUUCAGCUCCACCCCUUUAGGAUGUGAGGGAAGGAAGCAAGGAUGAGAUGCCUGGAGAGAGGAACCAAGACAAGUCGAAUGGAAUAUCCUCGCUCUCUCAAGCGUUACUUCAAAGCGACGUCAAUUAAUGAUGACUGUGAUCAGCUGGAUUACCUCGCUACGCUUCAGGGAUCUGCCGUUAUGCUUGUUCCUUUUUUUGAUGUUCUGUUAUGUUGUUUGAGCUUGGUGAAUAACAACAUUCUUAAUAAAGCAAAAUGCACUGAUAGUAUGUGA